CGCUGCGUAGGUAAGUGUUUAUCCCUCGCGGCUCAGAAUUACGGUGUCGCAGGUUCGAAUCCUGACGCCGCAACCA
This 76-nucleotide transfer RNA is filed under the name Shinella sp. RNAcentral's name for it is "tRNA-Leu". The record is from RNAcentral. Lineage: Bacteria; Pseudomonadati; Pseudomonadota; Alphaproteobacteria; Hyphomicrobiales; Rhizobiaceae. RNAcentral also lists the same sequence under 1 other name.